RNAcentral lists this ribosomal RNA (497 nucleotides) under uncultured bacterium. RNAcentral's name for it is "partial 16S ribosomal RNA". It matches the Rfam family "Bacterial small subunit ribosomal RNA", at positions 28 to 507 of the family's 1533-position model. The record is from RNAcentral.
GAUGAACGCUGGCGGCGUGCCUAAUACAUGCAAGUCGAGCGAACGGACGAGAAGCUUGCUUCUCUGAUGUUAGCGGCGGACGGGUGAGUAACACGUGGAUAACCUACCUAUAAGACUGGGAUAAAUUCGGGAAACCGGAGCUAAUACCGGAUAAUAUUUUGAACCGCAUGGUUCAAAAGUGAAAGACGGUCUUGCUGUCACUUAUAGAAGGAUCCGCGCUGCAUUAGCUAGUUGGUAAGGUAACGGCUUACCAAGGCAACGAUGCAUAGCCGACCUGAGAGGGUGAUCAGCCACACUGGAACUGAGACACGGUCCAGACUCCUACGGGAGGCAGCAGUAGGGAAUCUUCCGCAAUGGGCGAAAGCCUGACGGAGCAACGCCGCGUGAGUGAUGAAGGUCUUCGGAUCGUAAAACUCUGUUAUUAGGGAAGAACAUAUGUGUAAGUAACUGUGCACAUCUUGACGGUACCUAAUCAGAAAGCCACGGCUAACUACGUG